UUUUAUGGGGUGACUGCGUACCUUUUGUAUAAUGGGUCAGCGACUUAUAUUCUGUAGCAAGGUUAACCGUAUAGGGGAGCCGGAGGGAAACCGAGUCUUAACCGGGCGUUAAGUUGCAGGGUAUAGACCCGAAACCCGGUGAUCUAGCCAUGGGCAGGUUGAAGGUUGGGUAACACUAACUGGAGGACCGAACCGACUAAUGUUGAAAAAUUAGCGGAUGACCUGUGGCUGGGGGUGAAAGGCCAAUCAAACCGGGAGAUAGCUGGUUCUCCCCGAAAGCUAUUUAGGUAGCGCCUCGUGAAUUCAUCUCCGGGGGUAGAGCACUGUUUCGGCUAGGGGGCCAUCCCGGCUUACCAACCCGAUGCAAACUGCGAAUACCGGAGAAUGUUAUCACGGGAGACACACGGCGGGUGCUAACGUCCGUCGUGAAGAGGGAAACAACCCAGACCGCCAGCUAAGGUCCCAAAGUCAUGGUUAAGUGGGAAACGAUGUGGGAAGGCCCAGACAGCCAGGAUGUUGGCUUAGAAGCAGCCAUCAUUUAAAGAAAGCGUAAUAGCUCACUGGUCGAGUCGGCCUGCGCGGAAGAUGUAACGGGGCUAAACCAUGCACCGAAGCUGCGGCAGCGAACGUAUCACCCAAGACAACUUUACGGAGUUGACGAUUGACGGAGCGAAGCGACGUCAAAGCGUUCAUUAAAGUCGAGUUGGCUUAGGGAUACGUUCGUUGGGUAGGGGAGCGUUCUGUAAGCCUGUGAAGGUGUGUCGUGAGGCAUGCUGGAGGUAUCAGAAGUGCGAAUGCUGACAUAAGUAACGAUAAAGCGGGUGAAAAGCCCGCUCGCCGGAAGACCAAGGGUUCCUGUCCAACGUUAAUCGGGGCAGGGUGAGUCGACCCCUAAGGCGAGGCCGAAAGGCGUAGUCGAUGGGAAACGGGUUAAUAUUCCCGUACUUGGUGUUACUGCGAAGGGGGGACGGAGAAGGCUAUGUUGGCCGGGCGACGGUUGUCCCGGUUUAAGCGUGUAGGUGUGUGUUCCAGGUAAAUCCGGUUCACUUUAACACUGAGGCGUGACGACGAGGCACUACGGUGCUGAAGCAACAAAUGCCCUGCUUCCAGGAAAAGCCUCUAAGCAUCAGGUAACAUCAAAUCGUACCCCAAACCGACACAGGUGGUCAGGUAGAGAAUACCAAGGCGCUUGAGAGAACUCGGGUGAAGGAACUAGGCAAAAUGGUGCCGUAACUUCGGGAGAAGGCACGCUGACACGUAGGUGAAGUGAUUUACUCAUGGAGCUGAAGUCAGUCGAAGAUACCAGCUGGCUGCAACUGUUUAUUAAAAACACAGCACUGUGCAAACACGAAAGUGGACGUAUACGGUGUGACGCCUGCCCGGUGCCGGAAGGUUAAUUGAUGGGGUCAGCGCAAGCGAAGCUCCUGAUCGAAGCCCCGGUAAACGGCGGCCGUAACUAUAACGGUCCUAAGGUAGCGAAAUUCCUUGUCGGGUAAGUUCCGACCUGCACGAAUGGCGUAAUGAUGGCCAGGCUGUCUCCACCCGAGACUCAGUGAAAUUGAACUCGCUGUGAAGAUGCAGUGUACCCGCGGCAAGACGGAAAGACCCCGUGAACCUUUACUAUAGCUUGACACUGAACAUUGAGCCUUGAUGUGUAGGAUAGGUGGGAGGCUUUGAAGUGUGGACGCCAGUCUGCAUGGAGCCGACCUUGAAAUACCACCCUUUAAUGUUUGAUGUUCUAACGUGGACCCGUUACCCGGGUUGCGGACAGUGUCUGGUGGGUAGUUUGACUGGGGCGGUCUCCUCCUAAAGAGUAACGGAGGAGCACGAAGGUUGGCUAAUCCUGGUCGGACAUCAGGAGGUUAGUGCAAUGGCAUAAGCCAGCUUGACUGCGAGCGUGACGGCGCGAGCAGGUGCGAAAGCAGGUCAUAGUGAUCCGGUGGUUCUGAAUGGAAGGGCCAUCGCUCAACGGAUAAAAGGUACUCCGGGGAUAACAGGCUGAUACCGCCCAAGAGUUCAUAUCGACGGCGGUGUUUGGCACCUCGAUGUCGGCUCAUCACAUCCUGGGGCUGAAGUAGGUCCCAAGGGUAUGGCUGUUCGCCAUUUAAAGUGGUACGCGAGCUGGGUUUAGAACGUCGUGAGACAGUUCGGUCCCUAUCUGCCGUGGGCGCUGGAGAACUGAGGGGGGCUGCUCCUAGUACGAGAGGACCGGAGUGGACGCAUCACUGGUGUUCGGGUUGUCAUGCCAAUGGCACUGCCCGGUAGCUAAAUGCGGAAGAGAUAAGUGCUGAAAGCAUCUAAGCACGAAACUUGCCCCGA
This 2319-nucleotide ribosomal RNA is filed under the name Salmonella enterica subsp. enterica serovar Typhimurium. Its description in RNAcentral is "partial 23S ribosomal RNA". It matches the Rfam family "Bacterial large subunit ribosomal RNA", at positions 584 to 2802 of the family's 2925-position model. Lineage: Bacteria; Pseudomonadati; Pseudomonadota; Gammaproteobacteria; Enterobacterales; Enterobacteriaceae. The record is from RNAcentral.